Molecule: long non-coding RNA, 971 nt
Organism: Acanthopagrus latus (yellowfin seabream)
Lineage: Eukaryota; Metazoa; Chordata; Actinopteri; Spariformes; Sparidae
Exons: 3
Source: RefSeq, a predicted model, not a curated record
GUGAGGAGAUACUCCAUGAGGCAAAUAUACUGUACAGGAGCUUGAAUCCUUCAGACUCCCCUGCACUGAGAGAAACCACUGAGUGAAAAUUGGUACACACUUUCCUUGAAACUACUCUGAAGGCUGCAGUUUGCAGUGAAGCAUCUUUGUGGAGGACUGAAGAGCUAAUGAAGACAGUCUGAUCCAGAACAGCCACUUGAUGGACCACGUGGCGGGACUGCGUUCUCAACUGCUGUUUCCAAAGCUGCGGCUGACAAAUUGCCAAACUCAAUUUGAGGAUGAAGCUCAUGUGAUAUAAUCCAGAGGUCCAGAACAGCUACUCAAUGGAAACAGGGUGUCGAAUAGGGGAGCUCCAUCUCUCUGCCGUUAACCACCCAUCGUUCACACUCACUGUUCCGGGCACACACCGAAGAUCAAAAGCCCUGCUGUGGCGUAAACAUUAGAGCCAGAAUGGUGAAAAAAUGCAAAUAACAUUCAUUUUUUUAUCAUUCUCCUCUCCACUUUAAUGGAUUCUGUCCCCAAAAUGCCAUGUCUUGUAUUCUUUCUCCACCAGACAACAUAGUCUGACUCAGAAAUGUUUAUUUCAGAUAUUUGAACAUGGCCAGAUCCCAAAGGAGGGAAAAUACCACGUAUUUAAACUAUGACUCACACCUCCAGUGUGAUCUCUCCUAUCAGCUUCUGUAGCUGUUAAAGAGACACUAUGACUCAGACGCAGUGCAAACAUACAGACUGUUCUAUCUUUAGAUUUGCACUCAUGUAAGAUUAAUAUAAAAGAUGAGAGUGCAGGGACCACAGAUCAUCAGAUCAACAAUAAGCAAGAAGACAGCGAAUGGUUUGUGAUGUAUGCAUCAAAGGGAACUUGUUUUUUUGUUGAUUAUUUACUGUGAAAACAAACUCCAAUAAUUGUAAAUGACUGUGGCUCAGUAUGUCCCUUGCAAGAUGCCCUCACAUGCCCUCUGCAGCAGAAAAUA